AGUGAACGCUGGCGGUAGGCCUAACACAUGCAAGUCGAACAGCAGCACAGUAAGAGCUUGCUCUUACGGGUGGCGAGUGGCGGACGGGUGAGGAAUACAUCGGAAUCUACUUUUUCGUGGGGGAUAACGUGGGGAAACUUACGCUAAUACCGCAUACGACCUACGGGUGAAAGCAGGGGAUCUUCGGACCUUGCGCGAUUGAAUGAGCCGAUGUCGGAUUAGCUAGUUGGCGGGGUAAAGGCCCACCAAGGCGACGAUCCGUAGCUGGUCUGAGAGGAUGAUCAGCCACACUGGAACUGAGACACGGUCCAGACUCCUACGGGAGGCAGCAGUGGGGAAUAUUGGACAAUGGGCGCAAGCCUGAUCCAGCCAUACCGCGUGUGUGAAGAAGGCCUUCGGGUUGUAAAGCCCUUUUGUUGGGAAAGAAAAGCAGCAGGUUAAUACCCCGCUGUUCUGACGGUACCCAAAGAAUAAGCACCGGCUAACUUCGUG
This 492-nucleotide ribosomal RNA is filed under the name uncultured bacterium. Its description in RNAcentral is "partial 16S ribosomal RNA". It matches the Rfam family "Bacterial small subunit ribosomal RNA", at positions 29 to 507 of the family's 1533-position model. The record is from RNAcentral.